This 254-nucleotide ribosomal RNA is filed under the name uncultured bacterium. Its description in RNAcentral is "partial 16S ribosomal RNA". It matches the Rfam family "Bacterial small subunit ribosomal RNA", at positions 524 to 776 of the family's 1533-position model. The record is from RNAcentral.
UACGGGGGGGGCAAGCGUUGUUCGGAUUUACUGGGCGUAAAGGGCGCGUAGGCGGUCAGCACAAGUCAGUUGUGAAAUCUCCGGGCUUAACUCAGAAAGGUCAACUGAUACUGUGCGACUAGAGUGCAGAAGGGGCAACUGGAAUUCUCGGUGUAGCGGUGAAAUGCGUAGAGAUGUGGAGGAACACCGAUGGCGAAGGCAGCCCCCUGGGUCAAGAUUGACGCUCAUGCACGAAAGCGUGGGGAGCAAACAGG